GCCAAUUUGCAGCUGGACAAUGGCACGAUAGAGAACUUGAAUCCUAUAAAAAGCUUUUCCAGCGGGGGAGUAAUCACUGCAAUUUCCGAGCACAGAAGAUACAGAAGAAAGAAACUGGGCUUGUGAAAAAAAGAGCAGCGCCAGUGAUUUUCAAUGGAAUUGUGUCGAUGGGCCAUGUUACUGGCAUCCAUAAGUGAUUGCAGGAUCAGAGCCUAUGCAUGAUCACUAAAUAUCUCUCCGUGAUGCCUUUCAGCUUCACAAAACAGUUAUAAAGGCUGGCAAAUGCUCUUCCAGGACCAAGGGAAGGAGCCUAGACUAAGCAGAUUCGAUAUAUGUGCCAGUUAUACGAAGACACUUGCUCCAAAGGCUUCUGUCACACAGAGAGAAGGAGGAUCCGCAAAGGUAAUAGGUAAAGGAGGUUCUUACUGCUGACAGCUGCUCACUUUGGUAGCAUUCUACUAUGGGGAGCUGUGAAGGUCUGAUCCGAAGUCCCUUGAAAGCAAUGGAAAGCCUCCCAGUUCACCUAACUGAGCUUUGGAUCAGACCCAGGAAGUAGAUGUCCCAUUUUCAUGUCUGGCUGCAAUUUGCAUUCCUUUCCCCAACUCUCCUCCUUUCCCACCCAAAAAAUUCAGUGAAUUUGUUUGUGGAUUUGUGUGUGAAUUUAGAUCUGAUUUCAGAAAAAUGAAGUCCCCGGUUUAUCCACAAACCCAUCCCAGCACAGCGGGCAGCAGCACUACCCAACCUCAACCCAAAGGCCGUCUAUCUCAGUCACCGUACCUAUUACAGAGAAGACAACCCAGUCUCUGGGCCUGAUUCUCCACCGCUGUUCACCUUGUGCAGUCAUUUGCACCAGCUCAAAAAUGCUUUCCACUCUGAAUUGGUCAUAUCAUGCACCCAUUGUACACAGGUAUAAAUGUGCAAGGCGAUGGCGAAUCAAGCCUGCUAAUUCAAUUCAAUCUAUUUGGCAGUGGUUUUUGUGAUGUGGGUAUCCAGUUACUGGGAAUCUGGAUGGAGACAACCAAACUCUUUUCUCAGCUCAAAUUCAGAAAUAACAGGGCCGGCUCCAGGCACCAGCGAAGGAAGCAGGUGCUUGGGGCAGCCAAUGGAAAGGGGCGGCACAUCCGGGUCUUCGGCAGCAGGUACCAGUCCCUCUUGGCAAAAAUGCUGGAGCUGGCCCUGGCUCUUUGAUGGUGACUUCCGAGUGAACUACAUAUUUGCAGAAAGUGCUGGAGCUGGCCGUGGAGCAAGCUGCCAGAGGAGAUCAGGCAAAUCCAGAAUCUGGCCGUCAGCUGCAAAACUUUCUCCCCUUCAAAAAUGCCUAUCCAUCAUAAAAGUGACACUCACAACACUG
This is a long non-coding RNA of Mauremys mutica (yellowpond turtle), 1351 nucleotides long. RefSeq lists it as uncharacterized. Lineage: Eukaryota; Metazoa; Chordata; Testudines; Geoemydidae. The record is from RefSeq and is a predicted model, not a curated record. The transcript has 6 exons.